RNAcentral lists this ribosomal RNA (385 nucleotides) under uncultured bacterium. RNAcentral's name for it is "bacterial SSU rRNA". It matches the Rfam family "Bacterial small subunit ribosomal RNA", at positions 28 to 412 of the family's 1533-position model. The record is from RNAcentral.
GAUGAACGCUAGCGGCAGGCUUAACACAUGCAAGUCGAGGGGUAUAGGAAGCUUGCUUCCUUGAGACCGGCGCACGGGUGCGUAACGCGUAUGCAACCUACCUUUUACAGAGGGAUAGCCCCAGAGAAAUUUGGAUUAAUACCUCAUGGUAUAUAUCAUUCGCAUGUUUGAUAUAUUAAAGUUCCAACGGUAAAAGAUGGGCAUGCGUCCUAUUAGCUAGAUGGUAAGGUAACGGCUUACCAUGGCAACGAUAGGUAGGGGUCCUGAGAGGGAGAUCCCCCACACUGGUACUGAGACACGGACCAGACUCCUACGGGAGGCAGCAGUGAGGAAUAUUGGGACAAUGGGCGCAAGCCUGAUCCAGCCAUGCCGCGUGUGUGAAGAA